RNAcentral lists this non-coding RNA (21 nucleotides) under Arabidopsis thaliana (thale cress). Lineage: Eukaryota; Viridiplantae; Streptophyta; Magnoliopsida; Brassicales; Brassicaceae. The record is from RNAcentral.
GACACUGGUUCGGUUCCUCGG